GGAAUGGUUAGGUUCUACACUUUACAGUACAAAUUGCAUAGUGCUGUCAUUCAGGCAAGGUAGCGUAGUCGGUGACGUGCAAGUGCAACUUGCUGCUGAGAGCCAAAGUGUAGCAGAUGGGCUUGCUGUGAGUUUAUCUGCCUUAUCUACCAACAUUGAUCAAAAUUUAUCAGCUAAUGGUCAAACUCUGGUAGCGUCUAUAUCUAUAGUUUCCACACCAUCUUCGUCACCGAGUGUCUCUUCUCCACCCAAAUCAAAUUCAACUGUCGUAGGAAGCGCUGUUGGUGCUAUUGUUGUGAUUGUUAUCGUUAUAGUGCUCAUCAUCAUCUUUUACAAGCGAAGAAGCAAUGAAUCAGCCUCUAC
Long non-coding RNA from Strongylocentrotus purpuratus (purple sea urchin), 363 nucleotides. RefSeq lists it as uncharacterized. The transcript is spliced from 3 exons. The record is from RefSeq and is a predicted model, not a curated record. Lineage: Eukaryota; Metazoa; Echinodermata; Echinoidea; Camarodonta; Strongylocentrotidae.